CUGUUAGUUAUGAUAGUUACUGCACGAUUUUAUUGCCUGCGAUUGUAUGUAUGUUUCUUAUUUUUAGUUAAUUAUUUUCACUAUUUUCUGCGGGAGUUACUAAUGCUUUUUGUUUUUGUUUUGUUUUACAGCUGUUUUUCCUUUUGUCCUAUGCGUCGAGGGUCGAUUGGAAACAGCCUCCCUGCCCUUUCGGGUAGGGGUAAGGCUUGUCUACAUAUUACCCUCCCCAGACUCUCACCUGCUGGGAAUAUACUGGG
RNAcentral lists this long non-coding RNA (257 nucleotides) under Nicotiana benthamiana. Its description in RNAcentral is "long non-coding RNA (NBEN_LNC032784)". Lineage: Eukaryota; Viridiplantae; Streptophyta; Magnoliopsida; Solanales; Solanaceae. The record is from RNAcentral.